This 506-nucleotide ribosomal RNA is filed under the name uncultured bacterium. RNAcentral's name for it is "partial 16S ribosomal RNA". It matches the Rfam family "Bacterial small subunit ribosomal RNA", at positions 29 to 523 of the family's 1533-position model. The record is from RNAcentral.
AGUGAACGCUGGCGGUAGGCCUAACACAUGCAAGUCGAACGGCAGCACAGGAGAGCUUGCUCUCUGGGUGGCGAGUGGCGGACGGGUGAGGAAUACAUCGGAAUCUACUCUGUCGUGGGGGAUAACGUAGGGAAACUUACGCUAAUACCGCAUACGACCUACGGGUGAAAGCAGGGGACCGUCGGGCCUUGCGCGAUUGAAUGAGCCGAUGUCGGAUUAGCUAGUUGGCGGGGUAAAGGCCCACCACGGCGACGAUCCGUAGCUGGUCUGAGAGGAUGAUCAGCCACACUGGAACUGAGACACGGUCCAGACUCCUACGGGAGGCAGCAGUGGGGAAUAUUGGACAAUGGGCGCAAGCCUGAUCCAGCCAUACCGCGUGGGUGAAGAAGGCCUUCGGGUUGUAAAGCCCUUUUGUUGGGAAAGAAAUCCAGCUGGCUAAUACCCGGUUGGGAUGACGGUACCCAAAGAAUAAGCACCGGCUAACUUCGUGCCAGCCGCCGCGGUAA